GGGAAGGGAUAAGAAAAGGCGUAAGUUUAUUAGGCUCUGUUUACAUAGAGAGGGCGUAGCCCUAGAACUCUUCGGAGUUAGUUAUCGAGUCUGUAAGAUCCGAUUGGAUCAUCUUCUUCGUAUCAAUUUCAAUUCCAAUUCAUAUUGCCAUUAAUCAGAAUCGGAUCUUAUCAUUGGUCCGACCUGCAUCAUCUCUGCUCUCCAUCGAAUUCCAGUUUCUGCUAAAUCAGAUCUGGUCCCCAUCUGAUAUAAAUCCCAUUUCUAAAACCAAUUCCUCAUUUGUUUCUGUUCCUACAAUGUGCGAUUCAAUCGUGGUGACUCGGUCAUCCCUAUUGGAUACUCAUGCACAGCAAAUUAAGCAAUUGCAAUAUGAUGUUACAGCGAUAUGAUAUGUUCUUUACUUUGGCCUGGAAGAAGCAUGCACGUGUGUCUCUGCAUGUUACUUUUCUAUAUAUUAAUUCAUGUUACUUUAGUUAUUUUCUAGUUAUUUGUUAGGUGCAUUUUAGUGGGUCAAAUAAUGGGAUAAUGGGCAGUUACCAUACUCCACAUUUCCUACGUAUUUUAGGGUUCAAGUUAGUGGUAGUUGGUUAUUUUAUUUUCUUUGUUUGUAAGGCUAUUUAUAGCCGUAUGUUCUUUGUUGGAAGAUAUGAAUGAAAAAUGAUAAGUUGAAUCUAUUCCAAAAGUCUAUCAAUUCUCUCAAGCUUCUACCUUUUUUUUCUUGGAUCAAUUGGUUAACGAUUAGGUUCGUAACACGAUAAAGGAUUCUCUUAAAGCACUGCAUGAUGAUCGGUCUGAUUCUAGAGAAUUCCAGAAGUUCGUUCUCAAUUGGAUGCACCAUCAGGAUUCGCGGUCUAAUUCCAUGUCGAUUUCACAUGUUCCAGCAUCAUCUUCGGAUUCUAUUUCUCCACCUCCAUCUCUAAUAGAGCAAUUGGAGGCAAUCGUCUCCAGAUCUGAAGAACGUUGCGUGGCCAUAGGGUUUCAUGUUUUUAAGGUUUGAAUUCUACAUCGCCAACUCCAACUGCUCAAGCUCCUUCUUCCCUUGUAUAAUUUGCGGAAGUUGAAUCACAAUUUGACUGCAAUUCGAUUGACCACGGAAGUUUGAUUGAACGUGCGGUGGAUCGCUCUUCGGAUUCUCAGUUGCGAUCGCUGUCUCCUGUGGCUCGAUUGAUUACGAUCAUCUCCAGAUCUGAAGAACAGUCGUCUGGUCAGGGACAUUUGAUGUCGACUAGGGCUAAAUGGGCUAUAUCUGAUGAUCUACACUGGAAGUUGGGCUCAGAACUAGUGGUGGGCCACAAUGUGGAGCUGAAUACAGUUGUGGAUUUGGAUUAUCCAGAUCCGGGCCAAGAUGUGGAGCAAAAAAUGGUUGUGGGCUUUUUUUCCGAUUUGGACUUGUGUGAGAAGGGAAAAGCACCAUUUGACAUGGGAAAGAGUUCAUUGUCUCAUCGUCCUCUCAGUGGAACGCGAUUGACGUUUUCGGUUACAUGGCAUUUAUGGGUUGUGCAUGGGUAGCCUCGGCCACCAGAAGACGCAUCGAAGGAGGCCUCUACUGGGAUCCCGGGACAGGCUUCUGAUCACAGUCUUGCGGACAAGACUUUUUGAAGGGGGAAGUAAUGAUAGGAAUCAUAUUCUAGUUUAGCUUUUAAGUGUCAUUUAUCUAUUCUAGGAGGGGGGUAAGUGCAAAUAAUAUAGCAUAAGUAUGAGUCAGUAAUCACUUGGGGAAGGGGAUAAGAAAAGGCGUAAGUUUGUUAGGCUUUGUUUACAGAGAGAGGCCUAGCCCUGGAACUCUUCGGAGUUAGUUAUCGAGUCUGUAAGAUCCGAUUGGAUCAUCUUCUUCGUAUCAAUUUCAUUUUCAAUUCCAAUU
Helianthus annuus (common sunflower) is the source of this 1861-nucleotide long non-coding RNA. RefSeq lists it as uncharacterized. The transcript is spliced from 2 exons. NCBI's taxonomy places the organism in Eukaryota, Viridiplantae, Streptophyta, Magnoliopsida, Asterales, Asteraceae. The record is from RefSeq and is a predicted model, not a curated record.